GCCUGAGUCAUUCUAUCCCCAGAUCCUUACAUGGCUGGCUCCUUCUUGCCAUUCAGGUCUUGGUUAUGAGAGGCCUUCCCUGCCAGUCAAAUCUAAUCUAAAGCUACCACUGUGUUUUUUCUGUCAGUAACUGGAAUGAUUUUCUUUAUUAAUUGCUUACUUGCUUGUAUAUUUCUUCCCUCUAAAGUGUAAGCUCUAUCACAGCAGGGAUCUAUACUGUUUUAUUCACUAUAAUAUAUCUCCAACUUCUAGGAUACAGCUGGCACAUAGAAGACGAUCACUAAAUAUUUAUUGAAUUAAUGACACAUAUCAUUAAGGAGAAAAGUUGACCAGGCGCAGCGGCUCACGCCUGUAAUCCCAGCACUUUCAGAGGCCAAGCAUUAUUGUGGUAAUAGAUAAUGAAUACAAGAAUCAAAGGGAAGGAUGAGUAUUCUGG
RNAcentral lists this non-coding RNA (436 nucleotides) under Pongo abelii (Sumatran orangutan). Lineage: Eukaryota; Metazoa; Chordata; Mammalia; Primates; Hominidae. The record is from RNAcentral.